Molecule: ribosomal RNA, 348 nt
Filed under: uncultured bacterium
Lineage: Bacteria
Description: bacterial SSU rRNA
Rfam family: Bacterial small subunit ribosomal RNA
Source: RNAcentral
GGGCCCGCACAAGCGGUGGAGCAUGUGGUUUAAUUCGAUGAUACGCGAGGAACCUUACCAGGGCUUAAAUGCAGAGCGACAGAGGUGGAAACACCUCCUUCUUCGGACGGUCUGCAAGGGUGCUGCAUGGUUGUCGUCAGCUCGUGCUGUGAAGUGUCGGGUUUAAGUCCCAUAACGAGCGCAACCCCUAUUUCUAGUUGCCAGCGGUUCGGCCGGGGGACUCUAAAGAAACUGCCUACCAAGUAAGAGGAAGGCGGGGACGACGUCAAGUCAUCACGGCCCUUACGUCCUGGGCCACACACGUGCUACAAUGGUUGGUACAGAGGGCAGCUACCGGGUGACCGGAUG